UACGUAGGGUGCAAGCGUUGUCCGGAAUUAUUGGGCGUAAAGAGCGUGUAGGCGGCCCGGUAAGUCCGCUGUGAAAGUCCAGGGCUCAACCCUGGGAUGCCGGUGGAUACUGUCGGGCUCGAGUCCGGAAGAGGAGUGUGGAAUUCCUGGUGUAGCGGUGAAAUGCGCAGAUAUCAGGAGGAACACCGGUGGCGAAGGCGGGUCUCUGGGCAACAACUGACGCUGAGGAGCGAAAGCGUGGGGAGCGAACAGG
Molecule: ribosomal RNA, 253 nt
Filed under: uncultured bacterium
Lineage: Bacteria
Description: partial 16S ribosomal RNA
Rfam family: Bacterial small subunit ribosomal RNA
Source: RNAcentral